Molecule: long non-coding RNA, 2052 nt
Filed under: Onthophagus taurus
Lineage: Eukaryota; Metazoa; Arthropoda; Insecta; Coleoptera; Scarabaeidae
Description: uncharacterized LOC111428414
Source: RNAcentral
AGCGGUGUCCAUUAUUAUUAUUCCGUGGAUUUCCUCACUUGAAGACGACGACAACGACACCUUGAUAGAUACCGUUUUGACAAAAUAAAGAAUCCGGUAGUAAAGGCGUUUCUUGCACCAAAAACUAAAGGGGUCAAACCACCGAAGCCGAGCGAUAAUCCAAUUAAAAAAUUCGACUUUGGAGCAACAUUCAACGGUCACGUAUCUUUUUAUCACGUUCACAAUGGUUCUUCAGGACAUACCAUUGACCACGUUCGACGCCGUUCGGAGUGAAAUCACCUGCUGGUGCUGUUUUGCGCUUUGUGGACUUUCUCAAAAUCGCUUACCUGGCCGCAGAGCAAAGAAAAAUGUCGAAGUUUUUAUAAACUGGUCCGGGCGCUUUACAUUCGUGGAAAUUCUUAUCUACUUUUUCCUUAUUUUUCUUUUUAAAUAUUUUUAUUAAAACUUAUCCUACAAUUUCCAAUCAUCUUUUAAUGAAAAACUAAAAGAGAAAUCCUCAAUCUAAAAUUAACUAUUGUACUUUCUCGAUAAUAAAACAUCUUUUCUUUAGAAUUUUAUUAAAGAAAACUUAUAACAAAACGGUGACACAAUUAAAAUAAUUAUUCGUGUAUCAAGGCCGUGAGGUUUCUUUGAUCUCAUUGUCAGUCCUAAUUGAAAAUUAAGGUUACGAAAAAUUUGUUACUAAUAAUAUAGUUUUUAGACAAAAUCGGGCCGUAUGGUGGUGCAUUCUGAAAGAGACAACAUUCCAAGCAACGCGAAACGGUUUUCUUGGGUCGUUGUCCGCCCAAUAUGCUCUCCUCAUCGGAUGGCCGCGAAGGAGGAGCUCCAACGCCUUAAGACAGCGGCGAGGCCCGUAAAUGAGCGUCGCUAAUAAAAUGUUAAUCGAGAUUGUUGCUACUCUUGGUUACCACGAUGACGCGGGAGAGGCAAAUGUAGGUAAAAGUAACUAUAUAAAUAAAAAAAAAUACAUUUACUUUAAAGAAUUAUUUUUAAAUGUUUUAAAUUUAUUGUUUGAGACUGCAGAAUGCGAUGAAGCGGAAACGGCCACAGCAACGGCACAUUUUACGCGCGGUGUUUCGUUUGCCCUAUUUACGCGCGGAUAACUGUUCAACAUUUGAAAAUGGUUGUGUGGUUCUAUUCGAUGGCCGUUCAUUUCGUAAACGCAGCACCGAUUUAAUUUAUUUGUGCAGUUAGGGGGACUCGUUCUUGGUCGCCACACUAUCCAUAUGGUCUAUGAAGAAAAAGAAUAAAAUAGAAAUUUUCAUUAGAAAGGCAUAAAUUCAUUUAAAAUAUAUAUGUAUUCAAUUUUUUACCAAUUUCAUUCUCGUUUAUUCUUGAUUAUGAAACAAAUAUUAUAAAGGAUUCAGUUCGUAGUAAAAGGUAUACAUUCGUCAAAAAUAUACAUGUAUACAUGCGCAGUACUUCAAUAAAAGAAAACUCCGAGGGACGCCUCAAAAGAAAGACAGUAGAAUUCAAACGAGAAGCUAAAACUUCCCCAUGGAAGUUCCAUGUAAGUCUAGGAUCCACAUGGACACCAAGAAAUCUGAUUCCCUUCUUCGAAUUUAAAGACUCACCACUCUGUCCAUGUGUAAUUAUUACUAGUAAGUCAAUGCUUUGCCGAUAUGAACAUUAAAUUUUGUAAAACUGCGGCUUCCAUUCCUGAUUUAUAUAAAAUUGAACCCUGGGGAACACCACUCGUGAUACUUCCAGGAUUAGACAUAGCAAAAUUAAAUUUCACAUGUUUUCUGCAUGUAAGAUAUGAUCAUGUAAGAUUUACACGCUUCUGGAGCUAUAUUGUACGCAUAUAAUUUGCAAAUUAAAACUGAGUGACAAACAAAAAAAAAACUGAGUGGCCUUGGUAAGGUCCAAAAAGCUAGCUUUAGUGCACUGAAAGUGACAAUGAAAGCUAGUGUUGCAUAUUUUUAUUGAACUAAACCCGAUACUUUCCAGUUCUAGGUCUAGUGUUAGUUCUAGUUUUUCACUAGCACUAUCACUAGAGCUAUCAGAAGACCUAGAACCAUUCGGAUUUAGCCGUCUUGAGAGACGUGCGGC